CCAAAUAGUGGAGCAAAGCUAUGAUUAUGGAGGAUUGGACCUGCAAACUCCAGAACAGAGCAACCUUGUAAAAUGUGUGUGGGCAGCACAGAGACCUUGGGCAAGUUAACAGUUUCCUCAUCUAAAUAGUGAUUUAUGGAAAGCACCUGGUGCGUGUUCUGCCCUCUGAGGACCCUGCCCUUUCCCAAAAGGGAUAUCUUGAGAAGGAAAGUAUGGCUGCUCUUUGCUGGACAGCAGAGUCCCAGAACCCCAUGCAGGUGUUUUAGGGCUUUACGUCAUUCAAGGAUGUGGCUGUGAACUUCACUGGGAAGAAUGGAGAGAACUGGACCCUGCUCAGAGAGUCUUGUACAGAGAUGUAAUGCUGUAGAACUAUAGGAACCUGGUCUUCUUGGGAUUUCCAUUUUCCAAACCUGCUAUCAUCUCCCAGUGGGAAGAAGUGGUAAGCCCAUGAAUGCAAAUGCAGGAGGGAGAGGUGCCAAGAAGCAGCUGUACAUGCUGAACUCCAGUGCACCCAGUUAGACUUGGAGCGGAAACUCAAGUUGAAUGAAAAUGCCAUCUCCAGGCUCCAGGCCAACCAAAAGUCUGUUCUGAUGUCGGUGUCAGAGGUCAAAGCAGUGGCUGAAAUGCAGUUUGGGGAACUCCUUGCUGCUGUGAGGAAGGCCCAGGCCAAUGUGAUGCUGUUCUUAGAGGAGAAGGAGCAAGCUGCGCUGAGCCAGGCCAACGGUAUCAAGGCCCACCUGGAGUACAGGAGUGCCGAGAUGGAGAAAAGCAAGCAGGAGCUGGAGAGGAUGGCGGCCAUCAGCAACACUGUCCAGUUCCUGGAGGAGUACUGCAAGUUUAAGAACACUGAAGACAUCACCUUCCCUAGUGUUUACAUAGGGCUGAAGGAUAAACUCUUGGGCAUCCGCAAAGUUAUCACGGAAUCCACUGUACACUUAAUCCAGUUGCUGGAGAACUAUAAGGAAAAGCUCCAGGAGUUUUCCAAGGAAGAGGAGUAUGACAUCAGAACUCAAGUGUCUGCCGUUGUUCAGCGCAAAUAUUGGACUUCCAGACCUGAGCCCAGCACCAGGGAACAGUUCCUCCAAUAUGCGCAUGACAUCACAUUCGACCCGGACACAGCACACAAGUAUCUCCGGCUGCAGGAGGAGAACCGCAAGGUCACCAACACCACGCCCUGGGAGCAUCCCUACCCGGACCUCCCCAGCAGGUUCCUGCACUGGCGGCAGGUGCUGUCCCAGCAGAGUCUGUACCUGCACAGGUACUAUUUUGAGGUGGAGAUCUUCGGGGCAGGCACCUAUGUUGGCCUGACCUGCAAAGGCAUCGACCGGAAAGGGGAGGAGCGCAACAGUUGCAUUUCCGGAAACAAUUUCUCCUGGAGCCUCCAAUGGAACGGGAAGGAGUUCACGGCCUGGCACAGUGACAUGGAGACCCCACUCAAAGCUGGCCCUUUCCGGAGGCUCGGGGUCUAUAUCGACUUCCCAGGAGGGAUCCUUUCCUUCUAUGGUGUAGAGUAUGACGCCAUGACUCUGGUUCACAAGUUUGCCUGCAAGUUUUCAGAACCAGUCUAUGCUGCCUUCUGGCUUUCCAAGAAGGAAAAUGCCAUCCGGAUUGUAGAUCUGGGAGAGGAACCCGAGAAGCCAGCACCGUGCUUGCUGGGGACUGCUCCCUAGACUCCAGGAGCCAUAUCCCAGACCUUUGCC
This 1700-nucleotide small RNA is filed under the name Pongo abelii (Sumatran orangutan). Its description in RNAcentral is "processed transcript". The record is from RNAcentral. Lineage: Eukaryota; Metazoa; Chordata; Mammalia; Primates; Hominidae.